CUUCUCCUUUUUCCUUCUUGUGGACUUCCAUUGCAAAAUCUUUCUUUCAAUCUUCAAUUCGUAGUUUCUUCUCUCACUACUCACUCUUCGCAAUGGAUAUUGUGACUGCUCUUGGCGGCUCUAUCCUCUGUGUUUGCUUUCAGGGGCUGCUUGACAGUUUGAACUCCAUUGACUUUAUGAAAUACUUAGGCCAUGGGCAAGUCUUCACUCAACUCAAGAAGUGGGAGAAGAUGCUCAAGAGAAUUCAUGCGGUGCUUGAAGAUGCAGAGGAAAAGCAGGUGGCCAAUCGAUUGGUCGAGAUCUGGUUAAGCGAUCUCAGAGACUUGGCUUACGACCUGGAGGAUAUCAUUGAUGAACUUGCAACGGAGGUUCAGCAACGCAAGUUGGAAGUCAAACCUGUUCGUCCAAAUAAUAAGGUGCAAAAGUUUUUCUCUAUUAUGUGUGGUGCGGUGAAUGUAAAUCUAAAUACUAUUAAGUUUAAUGCUGAGAUGGUUUCCAAGAUAGAGGAAACUAGUGCUAGAUUGGAUGAGAUCAUAAAGCAAAAAGAUGAACUUUGUUUAGCAGAGUAUGCUAGAAGGAGGGUCAGCCAUGUGACAGAAAGACCAGCCACAACCUCUUUGGUUAAUGAAGCAAAGGUCUAUGGUAGGGAGGAAGAUAAGAAGGCGAUGCUGAACUUGUUGAAUGCUGAGACAAGUGAUGCGGAGGUAUCUGUGAUUCCUAUAGUUGGAAUGGGAGGCCUUGGCAAGACAACUCUCGCUCAGCUGGUUUACAAUGAUCCCACAUUGGGGUUUGAUUUGAAAGCCUGGGUUUCUGUUGGUGAGGAUUUUGAUGUUGUCAGGAUCACCAAAAUAGUUCUUCUUCAAUUGGGAGAUGGUGGUGAUGUUAAAGAUUUAAAUUCGCUUCAGGUAAAAUUGAAGGAAAAGUUGUCUGGGAAGAAGUUUUUAGUUGUCUUGGAUGAUGUCUGGACCGAGAACUAUGAGCAAUGGACUCUGUUUCGGAGUUCUUUUGAAGGAGGGAUACCUCAAAGCAGAAUUAUUAUCACAACUCGCAGUCAGGAGGUUUCAUUGAUGAUGGGUACUACUCCAGCUUAUCCUCUCAAGGAGCUAUCAUAUGAUGAUUGCUUGUAUGUGUUUGCCCAACAUGCUUUGGAAGCAACAAGUUUUGACGAGCACUUGGAGCUGAAAGAAAUAGGUGAGAAGAUUGUCAAAAGAUGUCGAGGAUUACCUUUGGCAGCAAAAGCUCUUGGAGGCAUCUUAAGGGGUAAACGCAAUCCUAAUUUGUGGAAGGAAGUGUUGAGCAGUGAGAUAUGGGAAUUACCAGACAACAAAAGCAAUAUUCUUCCAGCCUUAAGGUUGAGCUAUCUUCAUCUUCCAUCUCAUUUGAAGCAGUGUUUCGCUUAUUGCGCAAUUUUACCAAAGGAUCGCGAGUUUGAUAGGAAUGAGUUGAUUUUGUUAUGGAUGGCCGAGGGUUUCUUGUAUGAUCAGAAGAAAAUGAAGAAGAGCGAAGGUUUAGGUCAUAAAUAUUUUGAUGAAUUAUUAUCAAGAUCGUUUUUUCAACAAUCUAAUGAUAAUAAAUCAAAAUAUAUAAUGCAUGACCUAAUUAUUGAUUUAGCAUGCUUUGUUAGUAGAGAAACAUGUUUGCUUAUGGUUGAUAAAUUGGAAAGUGCAAAAUCAUAUGGAAAGAUACGACAUUCAUCAUAUAUUCCUCAUCUCAGAGAUACUUUCCUCAGAUUUCAAAGCUUCUAUGAAAUGAAGAAUUUGCGGACAUUUUUAUCAUUGCCGAAAUACACUUCUUGUUACUGCGAAUUAUCUAGUAAGGUGGUGCAUGACUUGGUGCCAAAAUUAAAAUGCUUAAGGUCUCUAUCUUUAGCUGGUUAUGUGAUUGAAGAGUUGCCGGAGUCUAUUGGUGCCUUGAAGCACUUGCGCUACUUUGACUUGUCUUAUACUAUAAUAAAAAAGUUGCCUGAAUCAGUGGAUAAACUCUUUAACUUACAGACAUUGAAGUUGUGUGGUUGUGGUAGUCUUAUUGAGUUACCUAGAGGCAUUUGCAAUUUACUCAACUUGCGGCAUCUUGACAUUCUCAGCACACAGAAUUUGCAAGAGAUGCCACCGCAUAUCGGUAAUUUGACUAGUCUCUGCCUGUUGACCAAGUUUAUCGUGGGGGAAAGCAAUGGACGGAUCACAGAGUUACAAAAGCUUUCUGAUCUACAAGGGCAGCUUCAUAUUAUAAGUUUAGAGAAGGUUGUAGAUAUUCAAGAUGCGGGUUUCGCAAAUUUGAAGGACAAGCCUGGUAUCACUGAAUUAUACUUACAAUGGUCUCGUGAAUUUUCUUCUGUUUUGAGAAACUCAAGUGAUGAAGAACAAGUUCUCAAUUCACUACGGCCACAUCAAAGUCUUUCAGGCCUUUCAAUUAUAUCAUUUGGUGGAAGGAAAUUCCCACCGUGGCUAGGAGAUCCUUCAUUCACUAGCAUAGUAGAGGUGAAUCUGAGCCAUUGUUCUCAAAUCACAUCGUUGCCACCACUUGGACGACUACAGUCACUAAAAAAGUUGAGCAUAGAAUCUCUGGAUGGAGUGAAAGAAUUGGGUGUUGAGUUUUACGAGGAUGAUUCCUGUUUUUCUUGUUUGGAGACAUUAAAAAUUAGUAGUAUGGGUCAGUGGGAGUUGUGGUCUUGGUCUAAUGGUCUGGGUGAAGAUUCUAUAGCCAAAUUUCCCAAGCUACGUGAGCUUCGAAUAAGAAGGUGUCCAAUGUUGGUGGGAAAAUUGCCCACCUUCCUUCCUUCACUAGAAGAACUAGAUAUUGAUGGUUGCCCGCUGUUAGUUGAUUUACCAAAAGUACUCCCGUCUCUUCUAACAAUCUCUAUCAGACAAUGUCAAGAGGUCGUUCUUAGGUGUUUGUCUAAUACCACCUCUAUCACUACCUUGAAAAUUGUAGGCGUGUCAGGGCUUGUAAGAUUAGAUGAAGCCCACAUAAAGACCUUGGGGUCACUCGAAGUUUUGGAGAUUUGGAAUUGUGAUAAACUGAGAUGCCUGUGGGCUGAUGGAAUCAAUUCAAACUAUCUUACUAAUCUAAAGCGUUUGGAAAUUUUCCAAUGUAAUGAGCUAGUGUCAUUGGUAGAUGGAGAAGAAGGGCUUUUGCCUUGCAAUCUUGAAAGUUUGGUUGUAGAAUAUUGUUCUAAUAUGAAGGAGUUGCGAAGUGGGUUGAGCAAUCUCAAAUCUCUCAAAGAUUUGACAAUCCGCUCAUGUGGAAGUUUAGUCUCCUUUCCAGCAAGGGGUUUGCCGUGCAGCUUGAUACGUGUUAGUAUUAAGGACUGUGAUUCUUUGGAGUGUCUGCCGGAGGGAAUUGUGCAUCGCCGUAAUUACCGUAACGAGACAUCCCAUCUUGAGAAGUUGCAUAUCAGUAAAUGUAAAUCUCUCAGGUCCUCUCCAGAUGGCGAGUUUCCUGAUUCCCUAAGGACUCUUCAAAUUCACAACUGGACGGCACAAUCAUUAAACACGCUGUCUUAUGGGCUUUCUCGUCUUACAGAAUUACACAUAUGGAACUGUCCUCAAUUAGACUCGUUUCCAAGGACUGAAAUGCUCAUCCCCACUCUUAUCUCUUUAUCAAUUAGGUGGUGUGAAAGAUUGAGGUCUCUAUCCAGUCGUAUGCAAAGCCUCCAUCGUCUCCAACAUUUAAAAAUAUUUGGAUGUCAUCAAUUAGAGUUGUUCCCGGAGAUUGGAUUACCCAACACUAAGCUUGUCUCUUUCAAAAUUGGGUAUUGUGAAAAUUUGAGGUCUCUACCUAAUCAGAUGCAAAACCUCACUUCCCUUCGAUAUCUGCAGAUAAAAGAUUGUAGAGGUGUGGAAUUCUUAAAAGGGUGUUUACCACCAAACCUAUCUGACCUAUCGAUCAAUAGAUGCGAGAAUCUGAAACAGCCAAUGCUAGAGUGGGAACUCCACAGACUCACCUCUCUUACAAAAUUGGUCAUCGGUAACAUCAAGUCAACUGAAGAUAUUAUUUCCUUUCCAGAUGAUGACGGAUUACUGCUUCCCACUUCUCUAACCGUCCUCAAAAUCUCUCUCAAGAAUCUGAAAUCCAUAUCCAUGGGUAUCAAAAACCUCACAUCUCUUGAAAAAUUAGAAAUUUCGUCAUGCCCAAAACUCCAGUCCUUCCCAGCUGAGGGCUUCCCUGCUACUCUUGAACUCCUAGAUAUUUCCGGCUGUCCUCUACUGCGAGACCGUUGCUUAAAAUAUACAGGGGGAGAUUACUGGCCUAUCAUUUCUCAUAUCCCCAGUGUUUGGAUACCCGAUUAAUGCAGGCUCUGCUGCACUCCAACAAUCAGCAUACGAGCCAGUGGUGCUGUCCAAAUCUAUACAGAGAUCAAAAUGAUCUGGAUAAGUAUGAAAAAUGGAAGAUGUGAAACUCUGCUGCCCUUGAGUUCUUCUGAGGAAAAUUUGCCUGAGCUUGCAUACGAUUUUAUCUUCUGUAUAAAUUUUGAAUCCCUAUUUUUAAUUUGAGAAAAAUAGGAAUGGAAACUUGAGAUACCAAUCUAGUGGCCUCGUUGGAGUUGCAACUUUAUGUCAUGGUGCACUGCCGGUAGGCACAAAAUGGAUGGACAACACUACUAUUGCAGGCAGCUAAUGUUGGGGAUAUGUUUUUCUUUUCGAUUUAUUUAUAAGUUAAUCAUGAGAAGAGAACAAAAGAAGUUGCGCCUAUGGUGAUGAUGAACCAUUGGAAAGCAGAGUGUGCUUAGGUCUCUUUGUGGAUGCAUUUAAAUUAGCAGGCCUCUGUAUCUCGAAUUUUUGGACCAAGAGGGGCUUCAAUAACUCACCUCUCUCGAAAAGCUGGAAAUUAUUUGCUGCAAAAGGCUCUGUUCCUUGCCAGAGGGGCUACCUUCCUCUUUAUUUUCUAUCAAGGAAUGUCCACGGCUAAAAGGAAAACUCCAGAAUAAAAGAGGAAGAAAUUCGUCCAGAAUUGCUGAUUUUCAUAGCAUAUAUAUUGAUGAGGAAGAAUCUAAUUAACAACCUAGAAGAGAUGAUAAUCUUGUUUGCAGAAACAUCUGAUAUUCCUUGCAUAUUCAAGGUUUACCUCAAAGCUUUCAAAGAACUCCAAUCGGACAUGUUGAGCAUCUCCACAUUACAAAUGCUAUAUACAUUGUUUUUGCCUUUAUAGAGGACCCAUCAAUAUGCUGUCAACUGAAUUUCAAAUUUGUUCUUGCACGAUAAUAUCAAAGAAUAGAUAACUGCUGAGCUUGGCCUGAGCAGCUGUCAUAAGGAGUCCAAGGGAAAGAAACGAUUGCUGGCAGAACAUAAUAGCAGCUUUUUAUAUUUCUGUUUUCUCAAUGGAGUUUUCCAAGUGCAAUUUCCUUUAUGUCUAGUUCAUUGGUAUCCCCCCAAGUUUCUACAUGUUUAAACAGUACAGAUGAGUGGUAGUGUGAUGGUAGCAGAAGACUUGGCCCUCUGCUAUGGCUUUGCUUGUUUCCUUGUCUGAUUUUUUUCUCUGAUGGAUCAUGAACAUAUGUUGAUAUGAAUGGAUGGGAGCUUAAUUGUACAACAAAAUUGCUACAGCUCCAAAAUUCACAGUUUUUUCUCUA
This is an RNA transcript of Hevea brasiliensis (rubber tree), 5569 nucleotides long. It is a transcript of the gene named putative disease resistance protein At3g14460, with no coding region annotated. The transcript has 6 exons. The record is from RefSeq and is a predicted model, not a curated record. Lineage: Eukaryota; Viridiplantae; Streptophyta; Magnoliopsida; Malpighiales; Euphorbiaceae.